This is a small nucleolar RNA of Trichomycterus rosablanca, 213 nucleotides long. RefSeq annotates it as small nucleolar RNA U3. The record is from RefSeq and is a predicted model, not a curated record. The transcript has a single exon. NCBI's taxonomy places the organism in Eukaryota, Metazoa, Chordata, Actinopteri, Siluriformes, Trichomycteridae.
AAGACUAUACUUUCAGGGAUCAUUUCUAUAGUAUCUAACUAGGAAGUGUGAUUCGAAAGUGAUGCGUCUCUUUAACCACGAUGAUGAGUUGAGAUGUUUCUCUCUGAGCGUGAAUCAGAAGGAGAAUGAUGAUUCUUUCAUUUGUUCUCCAUCAUUGAUGAAUGUUCCUGCUGCUUCAUGCAGUCUGGAGGAGAGAAGCAUGUUCAGAGUGGU